RNAcentral lists this ribosomal RNA (406 nucleotides) under uncultured bacterium. RNAcentral describes it as "partial 16S ribosomal RNA". It matches the Rfam family "Bacterial small subunit ribosomal RNA", at positions 30 to 526 of the family's 1533-position model. The record is from RNAcentral.
AUUGAACGCUGGCGGCAGGCUUAACACAUGCAAGUCGAACGAGUGGCGGACGGGUGAGUAAUGUCUGGGAAACUGCCUGAUGGAGGGGGAUAACUACUGGAAACGGUAGCUAAUACCGCAUACCAUCAGAUGUGCCCAGGUGGGCUUAGCUUGUUGGUGAGGUAACGGCUCACCAAGGCGACGAUCCCUAGCUGGUCUGAGAGGAUGACCAGCAACACUGGAACUGAGACACGGUGCAGACUCCUACGGGAGGCAGCAGUGGGGAAUAUUGCGCAAUGGGGGCAAGCCUGAUGGAGCCAUGCCGCGUGAAUGAAGAAGGCCUUCGGGUUGUAAAGUACUUGCAGUGGGGAGGCGUUAACCGCAGAAGAAGCACCGGCUAACUCCGUGCCAGCAGCCGCGGUAAUAC